This 450-nucleotide ribosomal RNA is filed under the name uncultured bacterium. Its description in RNAcentral is "bacterial SSU rRNA". It matches the Rfam family "Bacterial small subunit ribosomal RNA", at positions 354 to 796 of the family's 1533-position model. The record is from RNAcentral.
GUGGGGAAUAUUGGACAAUGGGCGAAAGCCUGAUCCAGCCAUGCCGCGUGUGUGAAGAAGGUCUUCGGAUUGUAAAGCACUUUAAGUUGGGAGGAAGGGCAGUAAGUUAAUACCUUGCUGUUUUGACGUUACCAACAGAAUAAGCACCGGCUAACUUCGUGCCAGCAGCCGCGGUAAUACGAAGGGUGCAAGCGUUAAUCGGAAUUACUGGGCGUAAAGCGCGCGUAGGUGGUUCAGCAAGUUGGAGGUGAAAUCCCCGGGCUCAACCUGGGAACUGCCUCCAAAACUGCAUGACUAGAGUACGGUAGAGGGUAGUGGAAUUUCCUGUGUAGCGGUGAAAUGCGUAGAUAUAGGAAGGAACACCAGUGGCGAAGGCGACUACCUGGACUGAUACUGACACUGAGGUGCGAAAGCGUGGGGAGCAAACAGGAUUAGAAACCCGAGUAGUCC